UUAUGGGGUAGCGCUGGGGACAGGUGGCCGGGCCAAGUUCCGGGGGGUCCUCCAUGAGAGUCGUGGAUGGGCCCCGCUGUCGGCUG
This 86-nucleotide small RNA is filed under the name Bison bison bison. RNAcentral describes it as "NoRC associated RNA, pRNA (ENSBBBG00000025302.1)". It matches the Rfam family "NoRC associated RNA, pRNA". Lineage: Eukaryota; Metazoa; Chordata; Mammalia; Artiodactyla; Bovidae. The record is from RNAcentral.